UACAGAGGGGGCAAGCGUUGUUCGGAAUUACUGGGCGUAAAGGGCGCGUAGGCGGGCCGGCAAGUCAGGGGUGAAAUCUUCCAGCUCAACUGGAAAAGGGCCUUUGAUACUGUCGGCCUCGAGGGAGGUAGGGGCAUGCGGAACUUCCGGUGGAGCGGUGAAAUGCGUAGAUAUCGGAAGGAACGCCGGUGGCGAAAGCGGCGUGCUGGACCUCUUCUGACGCUGAGGCGCGAAAGCUAGGGGAGCAAACGGG
RNAcentral lists this ribosomal RNA (253 nucleotides) under uncultured bacterium. RNAcentral's name for it is "partial 16S ribosomal RNA". It matches the Rfam family "Bacterial small subunit ribosomal RNA", at positions 524 to 776 of the family's 1533-position model. The record is from RNAcentral.